CUGAACCUUCUCAUCAACAAACUGCAAAAUUACAGAUAAAAUUUCAGGUUUUUGCAGUGCAUUUUGUAAGGAAAGCAUUCUGGAUAUGGGAGAAUAAAAAGAUUAUCAAAAAGAUAAUACAUAGUAGCAUUUGGAUUUAUUUACUUUUAAGAUGUUAAAGCUGAAAACAGGCAUCUGGCUCCUUAACUAAAGCCUCAGUAAGUGAUUAUUCAUCACUGGUUGGUAAAAUUUUUCAGCCUUCCAUGAGGUUCUGGAUGAUUUACCAAGAGUUGGUCUCGUGGCACAGUCCACCAUGGUGAAUGCAUAAGCUCCAAAUCUCCCAUGCUGAAACCCCAAACCCCAUUUCCCCCUAACCAAAAUGAAAAAAAUGGAGAAACCCCUCAAAGCAAUAUGCAGUCCUUAGAAAUUCACUAUUUUAGUAGAUUAUUAACAACAUUGAAGUACCUGCAUCUGACAUCUUCAAAUUUUUGCUGGGCAAUCCAAAAUAAUAGGAAAUUUUCAGAAUACAGAUGAGUCCAAUACUUAAAACACAUACCCACACAAGAAACCAGAAUAAUUGUGUCCAUGCAACGCAAGUAGUAGAUAGUUUAUAAAGACGAUGUAUGAAAAAGAUGGCUAUUAUCACAUACAAUAUAUUGAUAUGCUCAGUUACCUGUUUCAAAAACAGAGCUGCUGU
RNAcentral lists this unclassified non-coding RNA (676 nucleotides) under Hevea brasiliensis (rubber tree). Lineage: Eukaryota; Viridiplantae; Streptophyta; Magnoliopsida; Malpighiales; Euphorbiaceae. The record is from RNAcentral.